RNAcentral lists this unclassified non-coding RNA (378 nucleotides) under plant metagenome. Its description in RNAcentral is "partial contains 5.8S ribosomal RNA, internal transcribed spacer 2, and large subunit ribosomal RNA". The stretch from base 1 to 105 matches the Rfam family "5.8S ribosomal RNA", at positions 50 to 154 of the family's 154-position model. The record is from RNAcentral.
GAAAUGCGAUAAGUAAUGUGAAUUGCAGAAUUCAGUGAAUCAUCGAAUCUUUGAACGCACCUUGCGCUCCUUGGUAUUCCUUGGAGCAUGCCUGUUUGAGUAUCAUGAAAUCUUCAAAGUAAAUCUAUUGUUAACUCAAUUGGUUUCUACUUUGGUAUUGGAGGUCUUUGCAGCUUCACACCUGCUCCUCUUUGUUCAUUAGCUGGAUCUCAGUGUUAUGCUUGGUUCCACUCGGCGUGAUAAGUUAUCUAUCGCUGAGGACACUGUAAAAGGUGGCCAAGUUAAAUGCAGAUGAACCGCUUCUAAUAGUCCAUUGACUUGGACAAUACUUUUAUGAUCUGAUCUCAAAUCAGGUAGGACUACCCGCUGAACUUAAGC